CCUACGGGAGGCAGCAGUGAGGAAUAUUGGUCAAUGGGCGGAAGCCUGAACCAGCCAAGUAGCGUGCGGGAUGAAGGCCCUACGGGUCGUAAACCGCUUUUGCACGGGGAUAACACCCUCCACUUGUGGAGGUCUGCAGGUACCGUGCGAAUAAGGGCCGGCUAAUUCCGUGCCAGCAGCCGCGGUAAUACGGAAGGCCCGAGCGUUAUCCGGCUUCAUUGGGCUUAAAGGGAGCGUAGGCGGGCGUUCAAGUCAGCUGUAAAAGCGCGCGGCUCAACCGCGCCCCGCAGUUGAAACUGGACGCCUUGAGUUCACAACAGGCAGGCGGAAUUCGUGGUGUAGCGAUGAAAUGCAUAGAUAUCACGAGGAACCCCGAUUGCGAAGGCAGCCUGCCGGGGUGCGACUGACGCUGAGGCUCGAAGGUGCGGGUAUCAAACAGGAUUAGAUACCCGAGUAGUC
This 459-nucleotide ribosomal RNA is filed under the name uncultured bacterium. Its description in RNAcentral is "partial 16S ribosomal RNA". It matches the Rfam family "Bacterial small subunit ribosomal RNA", at positions 338 to 795 of the family's 1533-position model. The record is from RNAcentral.